CCGCACGCCCGUGCGGGUGUAUUUUUUUAAAGAAAAUAUGAUGCUAUUUGAUUUUUAUGUCACUAUUUAGGAUUUGACAAAAAACUCGAAUUCGAAAAAUUGAACCGAUUUCAAUCCGAAUAAGUAGUACUAAAUCCAAACCGAAAUUGAUUAAAUAUCCAAAUUAUUCAAAAUUUUGGUAUUUGAAGAACUGAAAUCUAAUCCGAUCCGAA
This 212-nucleotide long non-coding RNA is filed under the name Brassica rapa (field mustard). Its description in RNAcentral is "long non-coding RNA (BRAP_LNC004061)". The record is from RNAcentral. Lineage: Eukaryota; Viridiplantae; Streptophyta; Magnoliopsida; Brassicales; Brassicaceae.